CAAUAGCGUAUAUUAAAGUUGUUGCAGUUAAAAAGCUCGUAGUUGGAUUUCUGGUGGGAGCGAUCGGUCUGGCGCUUAGCGCGAGUACUUGCAUCGUCUCCGGCCAUCCUUGGGGGAAGUCUGUCUGGCAUUAAGUUGUCGGGCAGAGGAUCCUCAUCGUUUACUGUGAAAAAAUUAGAGUGUUCAAAGCAGGCUUAUGCCGUUGAAUAUAUUAGCAUGGAAUAAUAAGAUAGGACUUUGGUACUAUUUUGUUGGUUUGCGCACCAAAGUAAUGAUUAAUAGGGACAGUUGGGGGUAUUCGUAUUCCGUUGUCAGAGGUGAAAUUCUUGGAUUUACGGAAGACGAACUACUGCGAAAGCAUUUACCAAGGAUGUUUUCAUUAA
Molecule: ribosomal RNA, 383 nt
Filed under: uncultured eukaryote
Lineage: Eukaryota
Description: partial 18S ribosomal RNA
Rfam family: Eukaryotic small subunit ribosomal RNA
Source: RNAcentral